This 502-nucleotide ribosomal RNA is filed under the name uncultured bacterium. RNAcentral describes it as "partial 16S ribosomal RNA". It matches the Rfam family "Bacterial small subunit ribosomal RNA", at positions 28 to 507 of the family's 1533-position model. The record is from RNAcentral.
GACGAACGCUGGCGGCGUGCCUAAUCCAUGCAAGUCGAACGAACCGCGACUAGGUGCUUGCACUUGGUCAAGGUGAGUGGCGAACGGGUGAGUAACACGUGGGUAACCUACCUCAUAGUGGGGGAUAACAGUCGGAAACGACUGCUAAUACCGCAUAGGACAUAGGAUCACAUGAUCCAGUGAGGAAAGGUGGCGCAAGCUAUCGCUAAGAGAUGGACCCGCGGUGCAUUAGCUAGUUGGUAGGGUAAAGGCCUACCAAGGCGAUGAUGCAUAGCCGACCUGAGAGGGUGAUCGGCCACAUUGGGACUGAGACACGGCCCAAACUCCUACGGGAGGCAGCAGUAGGGAAUCUUCCGCAAUGGACGCAAGUCUGACGGAGCAACGCCGCGUGAGUGAAGAAGGUCUUCGGAUCGUAAAGCUCUGUUGUUAGAGAAGAACAGCGCAUAGAGUAACUGUUAUGCGUGUGACGGUAGCUAACCAGAAAGCCACGGCUAACUACGUG